GGAAUAUAAGAACCCGUCUCUUAAUUUUUAACUAAAAAAGCUAAGAACCAGUUUUUAAAUCUAUUAUUUAAUAACCGGUUCUUAGUUUUUUUUAGUUAAAAGUUAAGAGACGAGUUCUUAUUUUCC
Non-coding RNA from Brassica napus (rape), 126 nucleotides. NCBI's taxonomy places the organism in Eukaryota, Viridiplantae, Streptophyta, Magnoliopsida, Brassicales, Brassicaceae. The record is from Rfam.